RNAcentral lists this ribosomal RNA (372 nucleotides) under uncultured bacterium. RNAcentral describes it as "bacterial SSU rRNA". It matches the Rfam family "Bacterial small subunit ribosomal RNA", at positions 28 to 400 of the family's 1533-position model. The record is from RNAcentral.
GACGAACGCUGGCGGCGUGCUUAACACAUGCAAGUCGAACGGUGACGAGGAGCUUGCUCCUCUGAUCAGUGGCGAACGGGUGAGUAACACGUGAGCAACCUGCCCCAGACUCUGGGAUAACAGUUGGAAACAGCUGCUAAUACCGGAUACGAGACGGAGAGGCAUCUCUACCGUCUGGAAAGUUUUUCGGUCUGGGAUGGACUCGCGGCCUAUCAGCUAGUUGGUGAGGUAAUGGCUCACCAAGGCGACGACGGGUAGCCGGCCUGAGAGGGCGACCGGCCACACUGGGACUGAGACACGGCCCAGACUCCUACGGGAGGCAGCAGUGGGGAAUAUUGCACAAUGGGCGAAAGCCUGAUGCAGCGACGCCGC